GACGAACGCUGGCGGCGUGCUUAACACAUGCAAGUCGAACGAAGAGCGAUGGAAGCUUGCUUCUAUCAAUCUUAGUGGCGCACGGGUGAGUAACGCGUAAUCAACCUGCCCUUCAGAGGGGGACAACAGUUGGAAACGACUGCUAAUACCGCAUACGAUCUAAUCUCGGCAUCGAGGAUAGAUGAAAGGUGGCCUCUACAUGUAAGCUAUCACUGAAGGAGGGGAUUGCGUCUGAUUAGCUAGUUGGAGGGGUAACGGCCCACCAAGGCGAUGAUCAGUAGCCGGUCUGAGAGGAUGAACGGCCACAUUGGGACUGAGACACGGCCCAGACUCCUACGGGAGGCAGCAGUGGGGAAUCUUCCGCAAUGGACGAAAGUCUGACGGAGCAACGCCGCGGGAGGGAUGACGGCCUUCGGGUUGUAAAGCUCUGUUAAUCGGGACGAAAGGCCUUCUUGCGAAUAGUGAGAAGGAUUGACGGUACCGGAAUAGAAAGCCACGGCUAACUACGUG
Molecule: ribosomal RNA, 510 nt
Filed under: uncultured bacterium
Lineage: Bacteria
Description: partial 16S ribosomal RNA
Rfam family: Bacterial small subunit ribosomal RNA
Source: RNAcentral